Long non-coding RNA from Pseudomyrmex gracilis, 1851 nucleotides. RefSeq lists it as uncharacterized. The record is from RefSeq and is a predicted model, not a curated record. Lineage: Eukaryota; Metazoa; Arthropoda; Insecta; Hymenoptera; Formicidae. The transcript has 3 exons.
GUAUCUUUCGCGUCGUAUAUCUUGCUUUAUUAACCACAAUAACAGUAAUUAAUGUUCGACGCAUCAAAUAAGAAGAUAUCAAGAAAAACUGCGCGAUUUUGAAAAGAGAAAAUUUUUCGGGGCGUGGUUAGAAGAUCAUCUUUGAUACAGCAAAAUGGAUCGAUCCUCAAGUGACAUGUGCACAGGAAUAAGUCAAAAUAUCGAUAUUUAAAAUUGCUUGGAAAAAUAUAUCGGAUAGAUAUUCUAGCAUUUUUAAUUCAAUUGAACUGACAUCCGAUACCUAAACGACUAAGAAUAAAAGCGUUAAAUAUCGAUACUUUGGUUUAUCCCAAAUACGCCGCGCGACGCUCAACCGAUAGAUUGAAGCGAAUUGAAUUGAAGGCCCACGAGAACGAUCAAAGCGUAUGAAGAUUUCGAUAUGUAAGUAAAACAUCAUGAAAUUAUGUUUGAAUCGUUAAAUGAUAUGUCAUUUCGCGACGCAACUCGCAAAUUCUUUGAUUGCGUUCUUUGCAUCACGUUUCUCGCGAACAUUUUCAAUUAUAUGGAACAUUUCGUACUCUUAUAUCGUUAUUAUUAUUUUUAUUGUAUAUCUUAUUAUACAUACAUUUUUUAUCUCACGUGUAAAAGUGCACAGAUUAUAGCCGAUUUCAUAAAAAAAUGUAUAAAACUUUGAUUUAUUACCGUGAGAUAUUGAGUAAGUUAACAUUUUUCUUAUCAAAUCUUUUCUUUGAUCUGUGUCAAAUCAAAAUAGUAAUCGAAAUCUACAAUUAGCAACGAUGCAAUCGAAGUAGUAAAUUCGCGCAUCAUUAAUUCCUUGGUUUUAUGUUUACAAAGUUUUUACAUUACGAAUCGUUGUUGAAUCAGAAAGCGAUGCGUUUGCGAGUUUCUUAACUGUCUGAUAAUUUAUUCAAUAUUGAUAUUUUACUCAAUAUGAAUUGUUAUACAUAUAGUUAAUUUUUAUUUUUAUCACUCAACUCUUUAUCUCAUCUUAAAAUCACGAAACAGAUAAUCGAUCCGUGUAAAAGUGUUUAAAAAGCAAUGACAACUAUAACAAUGAUAAUAAAACGAUAAUAAUCAACAACAAUCGAUUAACAGAACUCGGUAAGUUCGAGCGUAAAGACUCGCGUUAUUCACCGUGAAUGACUUGCGAAAGCCGAUUCGAUUGCGAUUUGAUUUUUGUUUUCUUUCUCCUUACAACUCUUAUCGCGCUUUAAAUAUAUAUUUAUAUAUUUAUAUAUAUGUAUAUGUAUAUAUAUUUAUAUAUAUUAUAUAUAUAUAACCCUCGUAAAACACACCUACGGUCAACAAUUCGAUAAACCCUAUUCCGUAAUUUACACAAUCUACACAUAGACAUUUUGCUCUCAUUUUUCUCUUAAUAAUAAUUAAACAUCGCGAGAUGAUUUCUCUCACACUCACAUACACAAACACAGGCAUGCACACCGAUUGUGACUACAACGAGGCCCAAUUGCGAAUAAAUAACGAAACAAUCGUGCGAGCCCUGACGGCGAUCGACUUUGGCCCGUUACUGGUUUUCUUUUCUUUUUUUUUUUUUUUUUUUUUUCGUUUUGUUUUCAUCACUGAAACCGCUGACGGAUGCGCACAUUAUUAUUAUUCUCACAAAGAGUAUAAAAUAUCUCACACCUCCAUACGCGCACGCGCGUUAAUCGUUCAUUCAUAACGCGACUGUGAGAUGUGAAUGACGUAUUAAUUGACAACGCCUUCGUUACAACGAGCGAUAGCAAAAAGUGUUGUCGUUCUAAAGAGUUCUUUGUCUACUGGAAAUACUCAUUGUUCCGGAUGACUUUUAUGUAAAAGAACCUGAGUGCCUUUACGUCAAAAACUGAGAAAUAG